CGCAUAUAUAAUCACCCUCCCGUACACAUAAAUUUGCAAAUAUAUGGAUUUGCAGCUGAUCCUACCUACGUCCGCCGCUAAUGGCAGAUGAAUUUCGUAUGUAAGUAAAGGUGGAAAACAGGGGAGUAAUUUAUUAAUUGCAGCAAUCUUACAAGUUAGCAAGUAGGGUAGGGAACCCCACAGGCACGAGCAACCUUUCUAUCUCCAACGGAGGAAAGGAAAUGCUUGAGGUUUGGAUCUUUCAAGUAACCACAAAGACAGGGCCUCUGCUCCCUUACUUUACGGCAGCAAGUAGUAGAUGGUGGUACCGACAUCAAGAUUGCUGGUAGGCAUAUGGUCACUUCCGAAGGGCUGCACGUUACUGCACGUGCCACUUGCGUUUCCAUUGAUACCAUCACCACCGUACAUAGAACGAUACAGUGCAUGUUCUUCAUCCCUGAUCGAUCCAUGUUAUUAUUAUUACUAUUAAUCAACGCUGACAGCAUGCAAGAAAUGGUGCUUAAUUGGAGCGAAGAGUUUUCAUUUUAACUUUUGAGGCGCGCGCACACACACACAUAUAUAUAUACACACACACGCACACACUCUUUAAUUUUACAAAAGUCCCCCUCUUUUUUGUUAAAGAAAGGUUUACUAUUCUGCAUACUUUUCAAUGCUGCAUAAUUUUCGUUGUUUGGAAAGGUUAACGGGUCAAGUGGGCAAUUAAGUGACUGGGAAAGGUUAACGGGUCAAUUGGGUAAUUAAGAAGCUACACCUACCAAUUUCGAAUGAGGAAUUUGUUUAAAUGUAUAAAGAAUAUUUUGAUUUUUAUAGAAUGAAUUAUCACCAUAUAUGCAUUUUAUUGAUGGAAAAAAUUGCCCAUGGCCCUGCGGGUCGUCUUUCAGUUAAUGGAGCACUAGUAGCAGUUGUGGGCGAUGUGAAGACUAGAACAGAUGAGGAAAAUAUGAUAAUUCGGCUUCAUUCGUGGAAAUUGGAAAAGCAAUUCUGGCACUUGUUACACUCACUUCAUAUAGGCAUUUUAGGGAUUUUGUGGCAAAAUCGAAGAUCAAUGAGUGCAAU
RNAcentral lists this unclassified non-coding RNA (1056 nucleotides) under Hevea brasiliensis (rubber tree). Lineage: Eukaryota; Viridiplantae; Streptophyta; Magnoliopsida; Malpighiales; Euphorbiaceae. The record is from RNAcentral.